AGAGUUUGAUCAUGGCUCAGAAUGAACGUUGGCGGUGCGCCUAACACAUGCAAGUCGAGCGGAAGUAAUUCAGCGGCGGACGGGUGAGUAACGCGUGGGGAAUCUGCCCUUUAGUGAGGAAUACCUUCGAGAAAUCGAAGUUAAUACUGCAUAUGUCCCCCUCGGGGAGAAAGAUGGCCUCUUUGCUGUCGCUAAAGGAUGAGCCUGCGUACUAUUAGCUAGUUGGUAGGGGUAAUGGCCUACCNGGCGAUGAUGGUUAGCCGGCCUGAGAGGGGUGAUCGGCCACAUUGGAACUGAGACACGGUCCCAGACUCCUACGGGAGGCAGCAGUGAGGAAUAUUGCGCAAUGGGCGAAAGCCUGACGCAGCGACACCGCGUGAAGGAUGAAGGCCUUAGGGUCGUAAACUUCUGUUAAGUGGGAAGAAAGCGCCAGUCUUAAUACGGCUGGAAGAUGACGGUACCACUAGAGAAAGCACCGGCUAACUUCGUGCCAGCAGCCGCGGUAAGACGAGGGGUGCAAACGUUAUUCGGAAUGAUUGGGCGUAAAGGGUGCGUAGGCGGUUUAUUAAGUCAACUGUUAAAUUUCUCAGCUUAACUGGGAGUGUGCGGUAGAAACUGAUAAGCUUGAGGGUGGAAGAGAGAAAGUGGAAUUCUCGGAGUAGCGGUAAAAUGCGUAGAUCUCGAGAGGAACACCGAUGGCGAAGGCAGCUUCUUGGUCCAUACCUGACGUUGAGGCACGAAAGCGUGGGGAGCAAACAGGAUUAGAUACCCUAGUAGUCC
RNAcentral lists this ribosomal RNA (780 nucleotides) under uncultured bacterium. Its description in RNAcentral is "bacterial SSU rRNA". It matches the Rfam family "Bacterial small subunit ribosomal RNA", at positions 8 to 796 of the family's 1533-position model. The record is from RNAcentral.